Molecule: ribosomal RNA, 473 nt
Filed under: Escherichia coli
Lineage: Bacteria; Pseudomonadati; Pseudomonadota; Gammaproteobacteria; Enterobacterales; Enterobacteriaceae
Description: bacterial SSU rRNA
Rfam family: Bacterial small subunit ribosomal RNA
Source: RNAcentral
AAAUUGAAGAGUUUGAUCAUGGCUCAGAUUGAACGCUGGCGGCAGGCCUAACACAUGCAAGUCGAACGGUAACAGGAAGCAGCUUGCUGCUUUGCUGACGAGUGGCGGACGGGUGAGUAAUGUCUGGGAAACUGCCUGAUGGAGGGGGAUAACUACUGGAAACGGUAGCUAAUACCGCAUAACGUCGCAAGACCAAAGAGGGGGACCUUCGGGCCUCUUGCCAUCGGAUGUGCCCAGAUGGGAUUAGCUAGUAGGUGGGGUAACGGCUCACCUAGGCGACGAUCCCUAGCUGGUCUGAGAGGAUGACCAGCCACACUGGAACUGAGACACGGUCCAGACUCCUACGGGAGGCAGCAGUGGGGAAUAUUGCACAAUGGGCGCAAGCCUGAUGCAGCCAUGCCGCGUGUAUGAAGAAGGCCUUCGGGUUGUAAAGUACUUUCAGCGGGGAGGAAGAGAGUAAAGUUAAUACCUUU